RNAcentral lists this ribosomal RNA (293 nucleotides) under uncultured actinomycete. RNAcentral's name for it is "partial 16S ribosomal RNA". It matches the Rfam family "Bacterial small subunit ribosomal RNA", at positions 220 to 525 of the family's 1533-position model. Lineage: Bacteria; Bacillati; Actinomycetota; Actinomycetes; Actinomycetales. The record is from RNAcentral.
AUUGGAUGAGCCCGCGGCCUAUCAGCUUGUUGGUGGGGUAACGGCCCACCAAGGCUUCGACGGGUAGUUGGCGUGAGAGCGUGGCCAACCACACUGGGACUGAGACACGGCCCAGACUCCUACGGGAGGCAGCAGUGGGGAAUAUUGCGCAAUGGGCGAAAGCCUGACGCAGCGACGCCGCGUGCGGGAUGAAGGCCCUCGGGUCGUAAACCGCUUUCGGCAGGGACGAAGCGAGAGUGACGGUACCUGCAGAAGAAGUCCCGGCUAACUACGUGCCAGCAGCCGCGGCCGAU